RNAcentral lists this ribosomal RNA (446 nucleotides) under uncultured bacterium. RNAcentral's name for it is "partial 16S ribosomal RNA". It matches the Rfam family "Bacterial small subunit ribosomal RNA", at positions 338 to 795 of the family's 1533-position model. The record is from RNAcentral.
CCUACGGGAGGCUGCAGUCGAGAAUCAUUCACAAUGGGGGAAACCCUGAUGGUGCGACGCCGCGUGGGGGAAUGAAGGUCUUCGGAUUGUAAACCCCUGUCAUGUGGGAGCAAAUUAAAAAGAUAGUACCACAAGAGGAAGAGACGGCUAACUCUGUGCCAGCAGCCGCGGUAAUACAGAGGUCUCAAGCGUUGUUCGGAAUCACUGGGCGUAAAGCGUGCGUAGGCUGUUUCGUAAGUCGUGUGUGAAAGGCGCGGGCUCAACCCGCGGACGGCACAUGAUACUGGGAGACUAGAGUAAGGGAGGGGGAACCGGAAUUCUCGGUGUAGCAGUGAAAUGCGUAGAUAUCGAGAGGAACCCUCGUGGCGAAGGCGGGUUCCUGGACAUUAACUGACGCUGAGGCACGAAGGCCAGGGGAGCGAAAGGGAUUAGAUACCCGGGUAGUC